UGGAGGCAGCAGUGGGGAAUCUUGGACAAUGGGGGAAACCCCGAUCCAGCGAUGCCGCGUGAGUGAUGAAGGCCUUCGGGUUGUAAAACUCUUUCGACGGGGACGAUAAUGACGGUACCCGUAGAAGAAGCUCCGGCUAACUUCGUGCCAGCAGCCGCGGUAAUACGAAGGGGGCUAGCGUUGUUCGGAAUUACUGGGCGUAAAGCGCGCGCAGGCGGCCAUUCAAGUCAGGGGUGAAAGCCCAGAGCUCAACUCUGGAACUGCCCUUGAAACUGUAUGGCUUGAGUAUGAGAGAGGUGAGUGGAAUUCCCAGUGUAGAGGUGAAAUUCGUAGAUAUUGGGAAGAACACCGGUGGCGAAGGCGGCUCACUGGCUCAUUACUGACGCUCAGGCGCGACAGCGUGGGGAUCAAACAGGAUUAGAUACCCCAGUAGUCCG
RNAcentral lists this ribosomal RNA (437 nucleotides) under uncultured bacterium. RNAcentral's name for it is "bacterial SSU rRNA". It matches the Rfam family "Bacterial small subunit ribosomal RNA", at positions 343 to 797 of the family's 1533-position model. The record is from RNAcentral.